UGUGGUGUAGCUCAGUGGCAGAGCACUUGCCUAGCAUGUGUGGGGUACUGGGUUUGAUCCUUAGCACCACAU
RNAcentral lists this transfer RNA (72 nucleotides) under Ictidomys tridecemlineatus (thirteen-lined ground squirrel). Its description in RNAcentral is "Spermophilus tridecemlineatus (thirteen-lined ground squirrel) tRNA". It matches the Rfam family "tRNA". Rfam says of the family: Transfer RNA (tRNA) molecules are approximately 80 nucleotides in length. The record is from Rfam by way of RNAcentral. Lineage: Eukaryota; Metazoa; Chordata; Mammalia; Rodentia; Sciuridae.